RNAcentral lists this ribosomal RNA (459 nucleotides) under uncultured Streptococcus sp. RNAcentral's name for it is "partial 16S ribosomal RNA". It matches the Rfam family "Bacterial small subunit ribosomal RNA", at positions 341 to 792 of the family's 1533-position model. The record is from RNAcentral. Lineage: Bacteria; Bacillati; Bacillota; Bacilli; Lactobacillales; Streptococcaceae.
ACGGAAGGCAGCAGUAGGGAAUCUUCGGCAAUGGGGGCAACCCUGCCCGAGCAACGCCGCGUGAGUGAAGAAGGUUUUCGGAUCGUAAAGCUCUGUUGUAAGAGAAGAACGUGUGUGAGAGUGGAAAGUUCACACAGUGACGGUAACUUACCAGAAAGGGACGGCUAACUACGUGCCAGCAGCCGCGGUAAUACGUAGGUCCCGAGCGUUGUCCGGAUUUAUUGGGCGUAAAGCGAGCGCAGGCGGUUUCAUAAGCCUGUAGUUAAAGGCAGUGGCUUAACCAUUGUUCGCUUUGGAAAAUGUUAGACUUGAGUGCAGAAGGGGAGAGUGGAAUUCCAUGUGUAGCGGUGAAAUGCGUAGAUAUAUGGAGGAACACCGGUGGCGAAAGCGGCUCUCUGGUCUGUAACUGACGCUGAGGCUCGAAAGCUUGGGGAGCAAACAGGAUUAGAUACCCUGGUA